GUCUCUUGGAACAGAGCGUCGUAGAGGGUGAGAAUCCCGUCUUUGACACGGACUACCAGUGCUUUGUGAUGCGCUCUCAAAGAGUCGAGUUGUUUGGGAAUGCAGCUCAAAAUGGGUGGUAAAUUCCAUCUAAAGCUAAAUAUUGGCGAGAGACCGAUAGCGAACAAGUACCGUGAGGGAAAGAUGAAAAGCACUUUGGAAAGAGAGUUAAACAGUACGUGAAAUUGCUGAAAGGGAAACGCUUGAAGUCAGUCGCGUUGGCUGGAACUCAGCCUUGCUUUUUUGCUUGGUGCAUUUUCUAGUUGACGGGCCAGCAUCGAUUUUGACUGCUGGAAAAAGGCUGGGGGAAUGUGGCACCUUCGGGUGUGUUAUAGCCCUCAGUCGCAUACAGUGGUUGGGAUCGAGGAUCGCAGCACGCCUUUAUGGCCGGGGUUCGCCCACGUUCGUGCUUAGGAUGCUGGCAUAAUGGCUUUAAACGACCCGUCUUGAAACACGGACCAAGGAGUCUAACAUGCCUGCGAGUGUUUGGGUGGAAAACUCGAGCGCGCAAUGAAAGUGAAAGUUGAGAUCCCUGUCAUGGGGAGCAUCGACGCCCGGACUUGAACUUCGGUGAUGGAUCCGCGGUAGAGCAUGUAUGUUGGGACCCGAAAGAUGGUGAACUAUGCCUGAAUAGGGUGAAGCCAGAGGAAACUCUGGUGGAAGCUCGUAGCGAUUCUGACGUGCAAAUCGAUCGUCAAAUUUGGG
Molecule: ribosomal RNA, 744 nt
Filed under: Fomitopsis pulverulenta
Lineage: Eukaryota; Fungi; Basidiomycota; Agaricomycetes; Polyporales; Fomitopsidaceae
Description: Flavidoporia pulverulenta partial large subunit ribosomal RNA
Rfam family: Eukaryotic large subunit ribosomal RNA
Source: RNAcentral